Molecule: long non-coding RNA, 1964 nt
Organism: Larimichthys crocea (large yellow croaker)
Lineage: Eukaryota; Metazoa; Chordata; Actinopteri; Sciaenidae
Exons: 2
Source: RefSeq, a predicted model, not a curated record
AGUUGUUAUUUCGCAUGGGGGUUUGCACUGUUGGCAGCGGGAGCACAAAAGCACAUGAGUCGCUGUCAUUCCGCGCAACGUUUGCGGACUAGAGGAAUCGAGUGAGUGUACUUGUUGCGAGCCAUACGGCGGCGGCAGCGUCCCGGAGCUGUCAAAUGUUGCGCACAGCCUUCAGUCAGUGGAGUAACCAGACUAAUCCAUCAGACAAACAACUCGGAAAGAUUAACCUUUUUUUUAGCCUCGCGAAAACUAGUUGAUGUGUCCACACCCGGAAGCCUGUUUUUAAAGUCAUUAUCAAUUUGUCACAUGGCUUUGGAGAAUUCAAUAACAACAAAAAAUGGCGACAAUCACGUUGCUCUGUGUGGUCUUGCUGCGUCAUUAAAAAUAUUCAUGUAAACACGGGGGAUCGGACGGGCAAAUUGCAGGCACAAACGGGGACCGUUCAACCUCGACGGUGUGUUUGUCCACUGCCCCGCUUUUCACGUCCGACACGGAACAUUUUUGGCCAGAGCCCCGAAGCAGCGGGGCUAAUGGAGUUGUUUACAUGAAGUGCGGAGGGCGGACUGACGACGGCGAGGAGGCGGAGCCUCGACGUCGACCAGAGACGCGACCGGACUGCUCGAGAGGGAAGAGGCUGCUCGCGCCGAGGAGGAGGAGGGGGGGCGGAGCCCGCGAGGAGAAUCAUAACAAGUCUGACGUCACUCGGCCUUGUGGUUGGUAUGAAUAAUAUACAGUAGUUUGUCUCGACCAGGUCCUAGAAGGAAAGGAAAGGUUAGGAAAAAACAAAAAAAACAAAAACAACUUUGUGCCUGUAAUUGUUUUAUGGAAUGAAACAUUAACGAGCCAACUGUGCAGGAGCAGGAUGGAAACAAAGAAAUAAUCAAAGAAUAGUUUCAUGGAAAGAGACAGAGCAAAACAUGCGCAAAAUACCGUAUCACUAUGAAGAAAGCACCCUGCUCACAUUUCACAUCUUGUUUGUAAUCACAGAUUCGCAUCCUGUAGGUCACUGAGUUCAAGUUACACACGCAGGGUUGUGCAUUAUUAACUGUCCACCCUUCAGGUUUCGUCAUAUAAUGAACAACAGAGUCAGUCUGCUGCAGAGCACAAUCAAACACUUUGGUUGUGGAGACAGUAAAAUCUUCAAAAGCACAUAUAGUAGCUAACUCCUAUAACUUCCGACACUUAAUGCUGACCCACUUUCACCCCAAUCUCAAAAACCCAGACUAUCUGAUUUCACCAAAUCUAGACCUUUCUUUGUCUGACACAAACAGUAGGAUGUAGUAUAAAGGAAACCUGGAGACCUUAAGAUAAGGCAUUAGGGCUUAUUUAACUUUCCCAGAGUUUGUCCAGUUCUCACAUCCUCUUUUAACAAAAUCUGUGUUUAUUUCUGUUCCCCAAAUCAAACUAUGAAAUAUGAUUUAUGUUUUGCACCUUUUUUUUCCCUGACAGCUUUUUUUUUUUUUUUUACUAGUGAUCGUUGUUAUGUUUUCAAUAUGUUAAAGGUUAAAUAAGCUGCAAAUAAAAUGCAAGAGGUACAUGUUGUUAUCUUUGACAACCUGUUGACCUAGAGCGCAGACAUUAUGGGUGGAUGACAAAUGGAGCGAAGCCCCCGGACUGCUAGAUUUGACAGGCUGCCCUGGUUCAGUUAUCACAGUGCUGAUGCUGUCCCCAUCGAAGGUACAGUACUGUGAUAACUGAAGGAUGGCUGCCAACUUGACACGAGUGCAGUGAAUCAAAGUCCAUUGAGUUUAACAAGAAAGAGAACCAAGAAGAAGAAGGAGGAAAAUGUUGUGGUAUGUUGAUUGAGAAACAUUUGUGGGUUGUGGCUUGCUGAAUGACAAAUUAUUCAAUUUGACUCUUAUUGUGUAGGAAACAUUGAAGAAACAUCAUUUUUAUUCUAAUAUUAUCUUCCCUUCUCAUGUAACAUCUGCUUAACUUUAUGAAAUAAAGUGAAUUUACUUUCA